AGCAGCCGCGGUAAUUCCAGCUCCAAUAGCGUAUAUUAAAGUUGUUGCAGUUAAAAGCUCGUAGUUGAAUUUCGGGGUUAGUAGGCUGGUCAUGCCUCCGGUAUGUACUGGUCUCACUGAUUCCUCCUUCCUGAUGAACCGUAAUGCCAUUAAUUUGGUGUUGCGGGGAAUUUGGACUGUUACUUUGAAAAAAUUAGAGUGUUAAAGCAGGCUAACGCUUGAAUACAUUAGCAUGGAAUAAUGAAAUAGGACGUUCGAUCCUAUUUUGUUGGUUUCUAGGAUUGACGUAAUGAUUAAUAGGGGAUUAGUUGGGGGGCAUUUAGUAUUCAAUUGUCAGAGGUGAAAUUCUUGGAUUUAUUGAAGACUAACUACUGCGAAAGCAUUUGCCAAGGAUGUUUUCAUUAAUCAAGAACGAAGUUAGGGGAUCGAAGACGAUCAGAUACCGUCGUAGUCUUAACCAUAAAACUAUGCCGACUAGGGAUCCGGAGAUGUUAAUUUUUUUAAAUGACUCAUUCGGCGC
This 520-nucleotide ribosomal RNA is filed under the name uncultured Glomus. RNAcentral describes it as "SSU rRNA". It matches the Rfam family "Eukaryotic small subunit ribosomal RNA", at positions 569 to 1086 of the family's 1831-position model. Lineage: Eukaryota; Fungi; Glomeromycota; Glomeromycetes; Glomerales; Glomeraceae. The record is from RNAcentral.